RNAcentral lists this ribosomal RNA (107 nucleotides) under Pteropus alecto (black flying fox). The record is from RNAcentral. Lineage: Eukaryota; Metazoa; Chordata; Mammalia; Chiroptera; Pteropodidae.
GUCUACUGCCAUGCCACCCUGAACACGCCCAAUCCCGUCUGAUCUCGGAAGCUAAGCAGGGUCAGGCCUGGUUAGUACUUAUGAUGGAAGACCAGGUGCUGUAGGUA